CUGAAGGAGUUAAUCGAUUUGGCAAGUGAAAAUAAAAAAAAAUAAAUAUCAUCAAAUUCAAUCUUUAAAAUAUUUUAAAAAAUAAAUUAAUAUGAUGUAUAUUUCAAAUGUUAAACAAAGGUUUAAUCGCUGGACAAUGUGCAAGCAUUGCAAGAAUGAGGCUGAAUGCAAAGAGUUAGAUUGGUUCCCACUAUCCACCACAGAAAGUGGAAAAAUCAAAACCACUGUGAAUAAAUGCAGGACAAUUUCAUUUGUGGGUUUCCAUAGUCAUGGUAAGUUAUGCUUUCUCCAAGAUUCAUGGUGUCAUUCUCAUGAUUCAUUUUGUAUAAAGCAAAAUGGAUGCUAAGCAACAAACAACAGUCGUUGGCAACAAAAGGCACUCGCUGUUUAUAAAAUGAUGUUAAUAGUUGUAAUAAAUGAAAAAACUGAAACAAAAUCAAGGAAGAGAAAAUGUUGGAUUGACAAAAUUUAUAAGAGAUGCAA
Molecule: long non-coding RNA, 483 nt
Filed under: Androctonus crassicauda
Lineage: Eukaryota; Metazoa; Arthropoda; Arachnida; Scorpiones; Buthidae
Source: RNAcentral